GAGAGGAUUUUGGUUGAGAGAGAAUUUUCGGGGAGAAAUAGAAAGCAGAAAUUUAGGUUUCGACAUAUUCUUCUACCUUUCUUUUUUUUUAUUUUAUUUCUGGUCCUAGAACAAAAAAUACUAAAAAUAUUGUCGAGUGUUCUAUCAUUUCAUUUUGAUAUCUAAAAGUCUAUCUUUCCAUUUUGAUUUCGGAUUUCGGUUAAAAAUGGAAUUUGUCCGAGAGGCUGGAAUUUGUUGCUGCUCGAGGUGUUAAUUGUCAGCCGCUAUUUGUUUUGUUAUUUAUAUUCAGAAAAUCAAACAAAAACAGAGGUUCAUAUUCAUUUCCUUUUUAUUUAAGAAUUUUGUUUGUAUGUUGAAUGAUCCGAAAAAAUGAUAUAAAAUGCC
Molecule: long non-coding RNA, 384 nt
Filed under: Nicotiana benthamiana
Lineage: Eukaryota; Viridiplantae; Streptophyta; Magnoliopsida; Solanales; Solanaceae
Description: long non-coding RNA (NBEN_LNC009961)
Source: RNAcentral